UAAAUAAAGAUUUAAAAACAAAUUGGCAGGU
RNAcentral lists this non-coding RNA (31 nucleotides) under Rattus norvegicus (Norway rat). The record is from RNAcentral. Lineage: Eukaryota; Metazoa; Chordata; Mammalia; Rodentia; Muridae.